This 460-nucleotide ribosomal RNA is filed under the name uncultured bacterium. RNAcentral describes it as "partial 16S ribosomal RNA". It matches the Rfam family "Bacterial small subunit ribosomal RNA", at positions 338 to 795 of the family's 1533-position model. The record is from RNAcentral.
CCUACGGGAGGCAGCAGUGAGGAAUAUUGGUCAAUGGACGAGAGCCUGAACCAGCCAAGUAGCGUGAAGGAUGACUGCCCUAUGGGUUGUAAACUUCUUUUAUAUGGGAAUAAAAUGUUCCACGUGUGGGAUUUUGUAUGUACCAUAUGAAUAAGGAUCGGCUAACUCCGUGCCAGCAGCCGCGGUAAUACGGAGGAUCCGAGCGUUAUCCGGAUUUAUUGGGUUUAAAGGGAGCGUAGGUGGAUUGUUAAGUCAGUUGUGAAAGUUUGCGGCUCAACCGUAAAAUUGCAGUUGAAACUGGCAGUCUUGAGUACAGUAGAGGUGGGCGGAAUUCGUGGUGUAGCGGUGAAAUGCUUAGAUAUCACGAAGAACUCCGAUUGCGAAGGCAGCUCACUGGACUGCAACUGACACUGAGGCUCGAAAGUGUGGGUAUCAAACAGGAUUAGAUACCCUAGUAGUC